AUUGAACGCUGGCGGCAUGCCUUACACAUGCAAGUCGAACGGUAACGGGCCUUCGGGUGCCGACGAGUGGCGAACGGGUGAGUAAUACAUCGGAACGUGCCCGAUCGUGGGGGAUAACGAGGCGAAAGCUUUGCUAAUACCGCAUACGAUCUACGGAUGAAAGCAGGGGACCGCAAGGCCUUGCGCGGACGGAGCGGCCGAUGGCAGAUUAGGUAGUUGGUGGGAUAAAAGCUUACCAAGCCGACGAUCUGUAGCUGGUCUGAGAGGAUGAUCAGCCACACUGGGACUGAGACACGGCCCAGACUCCUACGGGAGGCAGCAGUGGGGAAUUUUGGACAAUGGGCGGAAGCCUGAUCCAGACAUGCCGCGUGCAGGAUGAAGGCCUUCGGGUUGUAAACUGCUUUUGUACGGAACGAAAAGCCUUCUUGUAAUACAGGAGGGUCAUGACGGUACCGUAAGAAUAAGCACCGGCGAACUACGUG
Molecule: ribosomal RNA, 482 nt
Filed under: uncultured bacterium
Lineage: Bacteria
Description: partial 16S ribosomal RNA
Rfam family: Bacterial small subunit ribosomal RNA
Source: RNAcentral